Molecule: ribosomal RNA, 468 nt
Filed under: uncultured bacterium
Lineage: Bacteria
Description: partial 16S ribosomal RNA
Rfam family: Bacterial small subunit ribosomal RNA
Source: RNAcentral
GACGAACGCUGGCGGCGUGCUUAACACAUGCAAGUCGAACGGAAAGGCCCUGCUUUUGUGGGGUGCUCGAGUGGCGAACGGGUGUGUAACACGUGAGUAACCUGCCCUUGACUUUGGGAUAACUUCAGGAAACUGGGGCUAAUACCGGAUAGGAGCUCCUGCUGCAUGGUGGGGGUUGGAAAGUUUCGGCGGUUGGGGAUGGACUCGCGGCUUAUCGGCUUGUUGGUGGGGUAGUGGCUUACCAAGGCUUUGACGGGUAGCCGGCAUGAGAGGGUGACCGGCCACAUUGGGACUGAGAGACGGCCCAGUCUCCAACGGGAGGCAGCAGUGGGGAAUAUGGCACAAUGGGCGGAAGCCUGAUGCAGCAACGCCGCGUGCGGGAUGACGGGCUUCGGGUGGAAAACCGCUUUCGCCUGUGACGAAGCGUGAGUGACGGUAAUGGGUAAGGAAGCACCGGCUAACUACGUG